Molecule: ribosomal RNA, 463 nt
Filed under: uncultured bacterium
Lineage: Bacteria
Description: partial 16S ribosomal RNA
Rfam family: Bacterial small subunit ribosomal RNA
Source: RNAcentral
GAUGAACGCUGACAGAAUGCUUAACACAUGCAAGUCGAUGGGGAAGUGGUGCUUGCACCCUGGCAACCAUGGCGGACGGGUGAGUAACGCGUAAGGGACUUACCUGCAGGACUGGGAUAACAGGGGGAAACUCCUGACAAGACCGGAUAAUGUCAUGGAGCUGCAUGGCUUUAUGAUGAAAGGAGACGCCUGCGGAGAGCCUUGCGUCCUAUUAGCUAGUUGGUGAGGUAAUGGCUCACCAAGGCGAAGAUAGGUAGCCGGCCUGAGAGGGUGGACGGCCACAAGGGGACUGAGAUACAGCCCUGACUCCUACGGGAGGCAGCAGUGGGGAAUAUUGGACCAUGGGGGCAACCCUGAUCCAGCAAUUCUGUGUGCACGAAGAAGGUUUUCGGAGUGUAAAGUGCUUUCAGCAGGGAAGAAGUAAGUGACGGUACCUGCAGAAGAAGCGACGGCUAAAUACGUG